CGCAUGAGUGGCGGACGGGUGAGUAACGCGUGGGCAACCUGCCCUGUACAGGGGGACAACACUUAGAAAUAGGUGCUAAUACCGCAUAACGGGGGGAGCCGCAUGGCACCCCCUGAAAACUCCGGUGGUACAGGAUGGGCCCGCGUCUGAUUAGCUGGUUGGCAGGGUAACGGCCUACCAAGGCGACGAUCAGUAGCCGGCCUGAGAGGGCGGACGGCCACACUGGGACUGAGACACGGCCCAGACUCCUACGGAAGGCAGCAG
RNAcentral lists this ribosomal RNA (264 nucleotides) under uncultured bacterium. RNAcentral's name for it is "partial 16S ribosomal RNA". It matches the Rfam family "Bacterial small subunit ribosomal RNA", at positions 88 to 354 of the family's 1533-position model. The record is from RNAcentral.